This 1296-nucleotide ribosomal RNA is filed under the name uncultured bacterium. RNAcentral's name for it is "partial 16S ribosomal RNA". It matches the Rfam family "Bacterial small subunit ribosomal RNA", at positions 28 to 1329 of the family's 1533-position model. The record is from RNAcentral.
GACGAACGCUGGCGGCGUGCUUAACACAUGCAAGUCGAACGGAAAGGCCCUGCUUUUGUGGGGUGCUCGAGUGGCGAACGGGUGAGUAACACGUGAGUAACCUGCCCUUGACUUUGGGAUAGCUUCAGGAAACUGGGGCUAAUACCGGAUAGGAGCUCCUGCUGCAUGGUGGGGGUUGGAAAGUUUCGGCGGUUGGGGAUGGACUCGCGGCUUAUCAGCUUGUUGGUGGGGUAGUGGCUUACCAAGGCUUUGACGGGUAGCCGGCCUGAGAGGGUGACCGGCCACAUUGGGACUGAGAUACGGCCCAGACUCCUACGGGAGGCAGCAGUGGGGAAUAUUGCACAAUGGGCGGAAGCCUGAUGCAGCAACGCCGCGUGCGGGAUGACGGCCUUCGGGUUGUAAACCGCUUUCGCCUGUGACGAAGCGUGAGUGACGGUAAUGGGUAAAGAAGCACCGGCUAACUACGUGCCAGCAGCCGCGGUGAUACGUAGGGUGCGAGCGUUGUCCGGAUUUAUUGGGCGUAAAGGGCUCGUAGGUGGUUGAUCGCGUCGGAAGUGUAAUCUUGGGGCUUAACCCUGAGCGUGCUUUCGAUACGGGUUGACUUGAGGAAGGUAGGGGAGAAUGGAAUUCCUGGUGGAGCGGUGGAAUGCGCAGAUAUCAGGAGGAACACCAGUGGCGAAGGCGGUUCUCUGGGCCUUUCCUGACGCUGAGGAGCGAAAGCGUGGGGAGCGAACAGGCUUAGAUACCCUGGUAGUCCACGCUGUAAACGGUGGGGUACUAGGUGUGGGGUCCAUUCCACGGGUUUCCGUGCCGUAGUUAACGCUUUAAGUACCCCGCCUGGGGAGUACGGCCGCAAGGCUUAAAACUCAAAGGAAUUGACGGGGCCCCGCACAAGCGGCGGAGCAUGCGGAUUAAUUCGAUGCAACGCGUAGAACCUUAACUUGGGUUUGACAUGGAUCGGGAGUGCUCAGAGAUGGGUGUGCCUCUUUUGGGGUCGGUUCACAGGUGGUGCAUGCCUGUCGUCAGCUCGUGUCGUGAGAUGUUGGGUUAAGUCCCGCAACGAGCGCAACCCUUGUUCACUGUUGCCAGCACGUUAUGGUGGGGACUCAGUGGAGACCGCCGGGGUCAACUCGGAGGAAGGUGGGGAUGACGUCAAGUCAUCAUGCCCCUUAUGUCCAGGGCUUCACGCAUGCUACAAUGGCUGGUACAGAGAGUGGCGAGCCUGUGAGGGUGAGCGAAUCUCGGAAAGCCGGUCUCAGUUCGGAUUGGGGUCUGCAACUCGACCUCAGAAGUCGG